UAGGGUAUAGCUUAAUCGGUAAAGCAUACUGCUCAUAACAGUACUUAUCUAUAUAGAAUAUAUAAUUUAU
Molecule: transfer RNA, 70 nt
Filed under: Epichloe festucae var. lolii
Lineage: Eukaryota; Fungi; Ascomycota; Sordariomycetes; Hypocreales; Clavicipitaceae
Description: tRNA-Met
Source: RNAcentral